This is a long non-coding RNA of Magnolia sinica, 1564 nucleotides long. RefSeq lists it as uncharacterized. NCBI's taxonomy places the organism in Eukaryota, Viridiplantae, Streptophyta, Magnoliopsida, Magnoliales, Magnoliaceae. The record is from RefSeq and is a predicted model, not a curated record. The transcript has 4 exons.
CGCGCUCCCUCUCUUUCUCUCUCUCUCUCUCUCUCUCUCACUGCGAGAGGGUUGAUAGAGGGUUUUGUUCCCCAAAUCCAGCAAUCUAUCUUUCCCGCGAUCAUCCACUAAGUCAGCAACUCGUCGUUGAAGCAGCAACGAGGAGAUCUGUCCGUUCGGCAGAUGGGCAUCUGAUUGGAGCAGAUGGUCUUCGGGCAUUGCAGGUAUUGCUCGCAGUGAUGGUGUUGGGGGAUUGCAGUCUUGAGUUGCAGCAGGGUGAUUGGUGCUACGUGGGAAACUAGAAAGAGCCCAGAUCAGAUCAGAGAAAAUGCUUUGAUAAGAUGGAAAAAAAAAAAAAACCUAGUGAGUUGAGAAGUUUUUAGAGAUUUUAGGGAUAAUGCCGGUUGAUGCUUCCGCUGUUUUAGUGUUUCCAAAACAGCUAAAAGAGAUGGGUAAAGUAAUCAUCAGUCUUAAUUUCCAACUUAUAUUGCUGUCUCUGCAUAAGAUUUGUAUAUUUCCAUGUUUGCACCUAACAUGAAGCUUGUAGUUGGCUGUAAAAUAUAGAUCAUGAAUAGAGUGAUAGAACAAUCAUGAACCUGAAUGGAGUAUUAGAAUGCAAAGGUCCACUUGCCUUUUGAGACAUAGGAGUUGUCCUGCUUCCAUAUCACUGCAUACACGCGGCAUACACCGACGAGAAUGGAACCGUUUAUUCAGGAAAAAAACUAAAUAUUCGUUGUACUUGAAUUCCCUAGAAUAAUGAUAAUUUUGUUGAAUUUCAGUUCUUUUUUUUUUUGGAAAAUUGGCACAUUUUCUUCUAUAGAUUGCAAAAUUUUAUCUUCUUGAGUUGCAAUUUUGGGAGUAAAAUGAAAAAUUGCAAUGAUCAAUGGACGGAUGCCGAGGAUCUCCAUGAAUGCAUUUAAUGCAUGGAACCAUUGGAAAGCAUGAAUCAAUGCUAAUUAUACACUCGAGAUUCAUGAUUAAUGCACGGUAAUCUCACCUGUAACUUUCUUUAUUUAUCAAUUUCAGACAUGUUUGGAUGAGCUUCUGUGUAUGCAGAUUGCAAUCAGAUUCGUAGGGCGUAAUUGAAGUUUAUAGAAGGAUUUGUUUUUCGUUCAUCAAUUGCUUGAAGGUCGUGUAAAAUAUUCGUUUCUUUGGCGAAUGAUUUUAUGCAAGUCUACCUUUCAGGAAUGAUCCACUCCCAGUUUUUCGUUUCUUUGAUUUUAACUUUUCAAUGCCAUGAUCAAUCUAAUACAAAAUCCAUGUUCACCUGCAGUGUUGAUGAGCAGGUAGCCAGCCAAUGACAUACAACCACUAGAUUCCAUUGCUGAGAAGCAAGCCCAAAUCUUCUCUGAAGAAUGCAAAUUGUUUCCUGCAGAUGUCCAAAUUCAAUCCAUAUUUCCACUGUAAGCAGUUCUAUAUCCAGUUCUAAACAGAGAUGUAGUUAAGACAAAUUCUUUGUUGUCUAUACAAAUUCUAAAAUUCUUAAAACAACACUAACAUUUCAAAUAUUUGUUCUUGAUAUGCAAGAAUUCUUUCAAAAAAGUGGUAUGAAAAAUCUUGAACCUUUGUCUUUUUCUUUUUCUAA